This 873-nucleotide long non-coding RNA is filed under the name Mytilus galloprovincialis (Mediterranean mussel). The record is from RNAcentral. Lineage: Eukaryota; Metazoa; Mollusca; Bivalvia; Mytilida; Mytilidae.
UGAUGCUACGAGUAUGAGCAUACUCGUGCAGUAAUGAGAUUUUGACAAUCUGAUUGAAAAGGGCACAACUUUUAUGUUAUAUGAAAAUGACCGAAAUUAGGUGAAAAAAUUUCCAGAUCCUUGAUCUCCAUCCAGUAGUAGUCUUACUAGGGUAUAUCAUUGUAAAUAAUAUGAAGUCAUGAAAGUAUUAUUCCUUUCCAAUUUUUUUAAUAUUUUACAAAUUUUUGAUAAAGAGCAUUACAUUUUUUAAGGGAUUUAUAAUAAGCGAUUAUACGUUGAUUUGAAUUUUUUAGAAUUUUUCAGUUAAAAAAACAAGCAAGUACAAAAAUAUCCUAAUGCUUAUUUACCAUUUGUAUUUUAAUAAAGUAUAAUUUGAAUAUUUCAAAAAUUAUUUUCUGUGAUGACAUUUUUUUCAUUAAUGAGUUUAUAUUUCUUAAUUCAGUAAGUUUUGAUCGAUUUAAAAUGCAGACAGUCUGUUACUACUCGGUUAAUAUGGUAAACUGUUGAGAAAAGUAGGGUAGGAAAAGGCUAAAUUUAUGGAAUCUUUUUAUUUUAUGCUGAAAUGUAUUUCUUUAUCAUGUUAUUUCUAAAUUAUAAGAAAAAGAUGGCUGCUAUACUUAUUUAUUUUAUACUUCUUUACAUCAUUAAUUUGUCAUUGUCUCAGUUAUAAAAGUGGAAUAUUUAUGUGAUUGCAUGAUAAAGAGAAAUGUGGAAUGGUGAUGAAUAGUGAUGAAUUCCUAACAUUCAGGGUAAAUGUGAUAUGCUUGAUUUUUUGUUUCUGUAUAUUUGAUGUUAAUAUAUAAUUGUUGUUCAUUCAUUCUUUGUUUUGAUAUUAUUAACUACAAAAUAUUAGGAAAUAAAAAUGAAUAUUAU